AGGAUGAACGCUGGCGGUCUGCUUAACACAUGCAAGUCGAACGGAGUAGCAAUACUUAGUGGCGGACGGGUGAGUAACGCGUGAGAAUCUACCUUCAGGACGGAGACAACAGUUGGAAACGACUGCUAACCCCCGAUGUACUGAAAAGGCAAAUAUUUAUAGCCUGAAGAAGAGCUCGCGUCCGAUUAGCUAGUUGGAGAGGUAAAAGCUCAUCAAGGCGACGAUCGGUAGCUGGUCUGAGAGGACGAUCAGCCACACUGGGACUGAGACACGGCCCAGACUCCUACGGGAGGCAGCAGUGGGGAAUUUUCCGCAAUGGGCGAAAGCCUGACGGAGCAAGACCGCGUGGGGGAAGAAGGCGUCGUUGGGUUGUAAACCCCUUUUCUCUUGGGAAGAACACAAUGACGGUACCAGAGGAAUCAGCAUCGGCUAACUCCGUGCCAGCAGCCGC
This 451-nucleotide ribosomal RNA is filed under the name uncultured bacterium. RNAcentral's name for it is "SSU rRNA". It matches the Rfam family "Bacterial small subunit ribosomal RNA", at positions 26 to 518 of the family's 1533-position model. The record is from RNAcentral.